UGGGGAAUCUUGCACAAUGGGGGAAACCCUGAUGCAGCGACGCCGCGUGAACGAUGAAGCCCUUCGGGGUGUAAAGUUCUUUCGACAGGAACGAUAAUGACGGUACCUGGAGAAGAAGCUGCGGCUAACUACGUGCCAGCAGCCGCGGUAAUACGUGGGCAGCGAGCGUUGUUCGGAGUUACUGGGCGUAAAGAGUGCGUAGGCGGCGAGCCAAGUUUGGUGUGAAAUCUCCCGGCUUAACCGGGAGGGCGCGCCGAAAACUGGUUGGCUGGAGUAUGGGAGAGGAAAGCUGAAUUCCUGGUGUAGCGGUGAAAUGCGUAGAUAUCAGGAGGAACACCUGCGGUGUAGACAGCUUUCUGGACCAAAACUGACGCUGAGGCACGAAAGCGUGGGUAGCAAACA
RNAcentral lists this ribosomal RNA (402 nucleotides) under uncultured bacterium. RNAcentral's name for it is "bacterial SSU rRNA". It matches the Rfam family "Bacterial small subunit ribosomal RNA", at positions 355 to 774 of the family's 1533-position model. The record is from RNAcentral.